UGGGUGGUAUCAUUUAUGAGCUGCACCACAGAAUAUAAGAAAAAAACGAUUAAUUCUGCCUUGAUCCGCUAAAAGGACGGGGACAGAGG
This 89-nucleotide non-coding RNA is filed under the name uncultured Siminovitchia sp. RNAcentral's name for it is "pan motif". It matches the Rfam family "pan motif". The record is from RNAcentral. Lineage: Bacteria; Bacillati; Bacillota; Bacilli; Caryophanales; Bacillaceae.